This 2391-nucleotide long non-coding RNA is filed under the name Anolis carolinensis (green anole). RNAcentral describes it as "lncRNA (ENSACAG00000035112.1)". The record is from RNAcentral. Lineage: Eukaryota; Metazoa; Chordata; Lepidosauria; Squamata; Anolidae.
UCAGUGGCAAAAGCAUUGAAAAUCUGUUCUCACAGAGAUGUGUAGAAACAAAGGAGAGUAAAACUCAAAAUGCAAGUAUGGUGAUUUUUGGAUUAUGUGAUUUUUUGUUUUCCCUUUAAAAAUAAUUCAUAGUUUACCACUGCCCGGUGACUUCAGAGAAAACCCUUUGUGGCCCUGUUUGGGAUCACAACCCAUGGGUUGGGAACCACUGAACUAGAAGAUAAUUUCCUACUUCAUGUUGCAUUCUAAUAGGUUUGUUGGCUGUUGAGUGAUUUCUUGCCAUAAUGGCACUCUGGUUGUUUCGAUAGCACCUCCUGAGAGUAAGAUGAUGAAGCACUCGACAUAUCUCUUAUUAUGAGUGAUUUCUAGAAAAAAAGUGGUUUGAUUUGCUGUCUCAGGCAGGAUAGCCUGUUCCUCUUCAAUAUAGAUCCCAGUUUGCAAGAAAGCUAUUGUAUAAAUAAAGUGUUGGAUGGGUAGGUGAGCUAUGGUGCCUCAACGUUCACUGUUUCAAGCUGGGGGGUAAUUGCCCAAUAGGAGAUUUGGCAGACUCAGGCUGUUCAAAUAGGAAGUGUCCAUGUGUUUCAUUUUGCUGUUGUGUUGCACAUUCCAGUGCUGCAGAUUUCAAUAAGGUUGUUGACUUUAUUAUUCUAUUAGUUAAGCAUGAUGCCUUUCCCCCCGAGAAGGAGGGCACUAGAUCAAAUGAAUUAUGGCAACUGGCUAAAUAUAGGGUGUGUGUGUGUGUGUGCAUGGUAUAAGAAAUUCAUGGGACAAAGGGAAAAUGAUUACUGUGAAAGGGAACACUGGGAGUAUAAAAAUAAUUCUGCACACAAAAAUAUGUAUUGUGUGUGUUACUUAAAUAAUUGAAAUAGUGAGACAGUGCAGCACUCAUGAGAUAACUUAAUGCAGAAACAUGAACAUGUGUAUGUGUAAAAUGUGCUGGAAGGAUAUCAUCAGUUCUUUCUUGACAAUGAACUUCAUACAACUGUAAGGGUUAACUUUAUAUAUGUGUAUUGCUUGGGCAGCUCCUACAGUAUAUGGAGAUUAAACUGUAUACCUCUGGCUAAAUUUAUCUAAAGGAAUAUUCCAAACCAAAAAUUGUGGAGUGAGCAUCAAAAAGGCUGUUGUGCUUUGGGGAUGUCAAGAGAUAACACGAUUCUUUGGAAAAGGCAAUGAUGCUUGGUAAUGUAGACAGAAAUUGGAAAAGAGAAAGUCUGUAUUACAGAUGGAUUUAUUAAAUCAAGGAAGCCACAGACCUCAGUUGAUAGUCAAUGACUGAGAUUAUUGGAAAACUCCCAUUCAUUGGGCUACCAAAGCUGAUUUGAUAGCAAAUGACAGCAACAACAAAUGUAAAAUUGAGCGAGUCUUUAGAAAAUGCCUAUUCAAAAAUUUUACCAGAAAACAUUGUGUCUAUGGCAACGUGCCUUCAAGUUACUUGUUAACUUGUGGAGACUCUAUGAAUUUCAUACAGUUUUCUCAGGCAAGAAUUAUUCAUAGAUGCUUUUUCCAGUUCCUUCCUCUGAAAUAUAGGUCUCUUUUACACUGCCCUAUAUGCCGGGAUCUGAUCCCAGAUUAUCUGUUUAUCUCAGAUUAUAUGGAAAUACUUACUCAUAUAAUCUAUUUCAAAGCAGAUAAUCUGGAAUCGGAUCCUGGGAUAUAGAGCAAUGUAGAUCCAGCCCUGGUCUAUAGCACUUGCUAUUCAUAGGCAAUCUCUAAAUCAAGUCCUAAUCAGGAUUGAACCUGUUUAGCUUCUGAGAUCAGACAAGUUCUGGUACCUUAGGAAAUUUAGUAGAUUGCGUUGUACAAAAGCCAAAGAGACUAUUUGUCUGUGUCUCCAGUGGAAUGAAUUCAUUUAUGUCUGAACACACUCUGCUGCAUAAAAAAAAAAAAAUAAAGGUUAUAAUAACACUUUGAGGAUUGCUAACAUUUGAGAAAUGGCUUGUGUUUUGGCAAAACUGAUGAGUAAGCAUCAUUCCAUGUGUAUUGUAAGACAUCCUGGGCAUGAAGUAUCAACAAUUUUAUUCUGAGUUGGCUAUGGGAAAAUGGACACCAAGCUAUAAACUAAAUAUAGAUCAUUCAUUAUUCAGUGGCAAAAUCUGACACAUUUUUCCUGGAGUCACAUUAAAUAUUUUGUUUGUCUCCAUUUUUAAAAGACAAUAUUUUUUAUCAGGAAAUAGCCAAGGUUUAAUUGAAAAGCCCUUAGAUAUUAUUACACUGGUAAAGAACAUUUUUCUCUAAAGGGCAGAAUGUAGCAGCUGUUAAGUCCUUUGUAGCAUAUUGAUUUCAGCAGAAAUCUAUGGGACUUAACCGUGCUUAACUUAGUUGAGGUUCCACCCAAAGUUUGCAAUGUAGUACUUUUUGAAAGACAUAAUUCUUUCAAGUCUGACCUAAAGU